RNAcentral lists this ribosomal RNA (478 nucleotides) under Gymnophthalmus speciosus. RNAcentral describes it as "partial 12S ribosomal RNA". It matches the Rfam family "Bacterial small subunit ribosomal RNA", at positions 876 to 1521 of the family's 1533-position model. The record is from RNAcentral. Lineage: Eukaryota; Metazoa; Chordata; Lepidosauria; Squamata; Gymnophthalmidae.
GSAAAAUUACGGGCGAAAGCCUAAAACUCAAAAGACUUGACGGUGUCCUAAUCUACCUAGAGGSGAGCCUGUUCCAUAAUCGAUAACCCCCGAUAAACCCGACCCCCCUUUGAAAUCUCAGSGCCUAUAUACCGCCGUCGACAGCCCACCUUUCAAAAGAAUUAAAGUAGGCUAAAUAGGSAAUAACGCUCUAAAAAGUCAGGUCAAGGUGUAGCUAAUAGGGCGGAGACAAUGGGCGSUACAUUUUUUAAAAUAACAUACUCACGGACCAGUAUUUUGAAACUAGAACUAUAAAGSGGUGGAUUUAGCAGUAAGCUAAAAAAGAAUGCUUAGCUUAACAUAGCCCUAGGACACGGSUACACACCGCCCGUCACCCUCCUCAACAACACUCAACCCACUAAAUAAAACAGSCAAACAUACAACAAGAUGAGGCAAGUCGUAACAAGGUAAGCGUACUGGAAAGUGGSCGCUUGGUCAA